RNAcentral lists this non-coding RNA (29 nucleotides) under Mus musculus (house mouse). The record is from RNAcentral. Lineage: Eukaryota; Metazoa; Chordata; Mammalia; Rodentia; Muridae.
UACUGAUGCAACUGUUGAGUCCCUAGGAU